Molecule: long non-coding RNA, 1110 nt
Filed under: Gallus gallus (chicken)
Lineage: Eukaryota; Metazoa; Chordata; Aves; Galliformes; Phasianidae
Source: RNAcentral
CAGCUGUAAGGGAAAGAUCUCUGCUUGGAUCUUGCUUCUUUUCGAGUCUGUGGCGAAUCUUGAUCCUUGGAAAGGGGCACUGGAGGACCAACGCGUCUGCAGCAGCGCAACCUGGAUUUAAGUUCUGGCAGUCCUCAGAGGUGAAACCCACAAUUGGUUUCUAGCAGAAAUUAUAGCCUGAUAACUAUGGCGUUUUAACAGCCAUCAUCAGACGUGCUCCUGAAGGCUUUGCUGUGGGAAUGGAAAGAGCAGCAGGUCCCUGCCUCCACUUCAGAGCAUCCUCUGCACAAUCACACAAACCCAGAGCUGGGUAAGCACAUCCAGGACACUGCUGUGAUCUCCAUCCACCCAGGGAGCCUUUAGUGAGGCUUUCCCAAAUGCUGUCUCCAAAAAGCAUGGAAACAAGCAAGCUGGGAAGGGCAGUGCCAGCAGAUCCACGUCCAUCCAUGAAGCUCCCAGGCAGCUGCUUCCGAUGCCUCGGCACAGGAAAACCAGCCCAGGCAGCUGUGGCCUCCCCUUCCCAGCACAGCCUCCAUCUGUUGGGGGAAAAGGCCAGAUCUGCUGCUUGUCCCAGCCAGGAAGCACAAGGAUGUCUGCACUUAGCAUCCGGAGAGCUGCUGCCUUCCUGACACCGUGAUCUGGCCGUUAUCCCACUUCCCAACAGAGACACACGGAGAGGUGACCACCCCCUGGGAACAAGACCCAGUGAUGUGCACUUGAUGUCUGCACCUACUGCGUGUCCUGGAGAGGAAAAGAUUCCCAGGAUACAUGCAAAAAACCCUGGUAAUGUUUCUACGAAAGAUAAAGGAACUGUAAUGCUGCUUUUAGCAGGCAGAAAGCAGCAGCAUGUCUCUCUGCUGGCUUCCUGAAUGGGACAUUGGCACCGGGCAAUGGCCAAACCCAACAACCACUGCUCAGCAGGUUAAUAAUGCUUCAAAAAACUUCCCAGCAAUACCAUUUUUUGACAUAACUUUGAACUGUCAUCAGUGAGCAGAAAGGAUGUGAGUAACCUUGUUUUUCUCCUCGCAAAAUAAAACUCUAGCAAAACUUGCCUCCAGGUUUGCUUUACUUUUACACCAGGUUCAAUUAAUAAUAAAAAACAGAAAGCAG